This 216-nucleotide unclassified non-coding RNA is filed under the name uncultured Gammaproteobacteria bacterium. RNAcentral's name for it is "contains 16S-23S intergenic spacer region". It matches the Rfam family "Bacterial small subunit ribosomal RNA", at positions 980 to 1193 of the family's 1533-position model. The record is from RNAcentral. Lineage: Bacteria; Pseudomonadati; Pseudomonadota; Gammaproteobacteria.
UACCCUUGACAUGCCAGGAAGCUUGCUGAGAGGCGAGUGUGCCCGAAAGGGAGCCUGGACACAGGUGCUGCAUGGCUGUCGUCAGCUCGUGUCGUGAGAUGUUGGGUUAAGUCCCGCAACGAGCGCAACCCUUGUCACUAGUUGCUACGAAAGGGCACUCUAGUGAGACUGCCGGUGACAAACCGGAGGAAGGUGGGGAUGACGUGCGUCAGUCAA